Molecule: ribosomal RNA, 486 nt
Filed under: uncultured bacterium
Lineage: Bacteria
Description: partial 16S ribosomal RNA
Rfam family: Bacterial small subunit ribosomal RNA
Source: RNAcentral
AUUGAACGCUGGCGGCAUGCCUUACACAUGCAAGUCGAACGGCAGCACGGGUGCUUGCACCUGGUGGCGAGUGGCGAACGGGUGAGUAAUACAUCGGAACAUGUCCUGUAGUGGGGGAUAGCCCGGCGAAAGCCGGAUUAAUACCGCAUACGAUCCACGGAUGAAAGCGGGGGACCUUCGGGCCUCGCGCUAUAGGGUUGGCCGAUGGCUGAUUAGCUAGUUGGUGGGGUAAAGGCCUACCAAGGCGACGAUCAGUAGCUGGUCUGAGAGGACGACCAGCCACACUGGGACUGAGACACGGCCCAGACUCCUACGGGAGGCAGCAGUGGGGAAUUUUGGACAAUGGGCGAAAGCCUGAUCCAGCAAUGCCGCGCGUGUGAAGAAGGCCUUCGGGUUGUAAAGCACUUUUGUCCGGAAAGAAAUCCUUGGCUCUAAUACAGUCGGGGGAUGACGGUACCGGAAGAAUAAGCACCGGCUAACUACGUG